Hydra vulgaris (swiftwater hydra) is the source of this 370-nucleotide non-coding RNA. The record is from RefSeq and is a predicted model, not a curated record. Lineage: Eukaryota; Metazoa; Cnidaria; Hydrozoa; Anthoathecata; Hydridae.
UGUGUGUUUUUAUUUUUCAUUAUGUAUUUACAUGUAUAAUUAUUUACUGAAUUAAGAUUUUAUUUAAAUUAUUCUUUUUUUCAGUUGUGUCUAGUGAAGCAUUUGUUAUGUAAUUCAUUUGACAGCUGUUAAAGAGGGAGAAGAAGUUAUGGCAAUGCCUAAAGCUCAUCGAACGAAAGAUGCAAGUUCAAAGAUUCAAAGAUUUUUAUUACAUUGUAUAAUAAGGAGCAUUCGAACGUUAUAGUUGCUUUCAACGAAGUAAUGAUGCAAGAAUUGUAAGGAUGCUUAGCAGUUGAGAAGAACAUUAUAAUGCUUGAAUAUGUGUAUAGUUUGUACGAAUAUUUCAACAUAAUUAUAAUGAUUAUUACAA